UACACCCUGGGGCUGCCACUCCAAACCCGAAC
Molecule: small RNA, 32 nt
Filed under: Escherichia coli
Lineage: Bacteria; Pseudomonadati; Pseudomonadota; Gammaproteobacteria; Enterobacterales; Enterobacteriaceae
Description: small RNA SokE
Source: RNAcentral